RNAcentral lists this transfer RNA (71 nucleotides) under Eucidaris tribuloides. RNAcentral describes it as "tRNA-Thr". It matches the Rfam family "tRNA". Rfam says of the family: Transfer RNA (tRNA) molecules are approximately 80 nucleotides in length. Their secondary structure includes four short double-helical elements and three loops (D, anti-codon, and T loops). Lineage: Eukaryota; Metazoa; Echinodermata; Echinoidea; Cidaroida; Cidaridae. The record is from RNAcentral.
GCCUUAAAAGCUAAUAGUCCCAGCACCUGGUCUUGUAAACCAGCGAAGAAGGUUAAAAUCCCUCUUAGGGU